GUGGGGAAUAUUGGUCAAUGGGCGAGAGCCUGAACCAGCCAAGUAGCGUGAAGGAAGACUGCCCUACGGGUUGUAAACUUCUUUUGUACGGGAAUAAAGUGCGCCACGUGUGGUGUUUUGCAUGUACCGUACGAAUAAGGACCGGCUAAUUCCGUGCCAGCAGCCGCGGUAAUACGGAAGGUCCGAGCGUUAUCCGGAUUUAUUGGGUUUAAAGGGAGCGCAGGCGGAAUGUUAAGUCAGCUGUGAAAUCCCGUCGCUCAACGGCGGAACUGCAGUUGAUACUGGCUUUCUUGAGUGCACAUAAGGAUGGUGGAAUUCGUGGUGUAGCGGUGAAAUGCUUAGAUAUCACGAAGAACUCCGAUUGCGAAGGCAGCCAUCUGGGGUGCAACUGACGCUGAGGCUCGAAAGUGCGGGUAUCAAACAGG
RNAcentral lists this ribosomal RNA (425 nucleotides) under uncultured rumen bacterium. RNAcentral's name for it is "bacterial SSU rRNA". It matches the Rfam family "Bacterial small subunit ribosomal RNA", at positions 354 to 776 of the family's 1533-position model. The record is from RNAcentral.